Molecule: ribosomal RNA, 306 nt
Filed under: uncultured eukaryote
Lineage: Eukaryota
Description: partial 18S ribosomal RNA
Rfam family: Eukaryotic small subunit ribosomal RNA
Source: RNAcentral
ACCCUUAGAUGUCUGAUGCCUUCAACGAGUUCUACCUUGGCCGAGAGGCCUGGGCAAUCUUUUAAACCUGCAUCGUGAUAGGGAUAGAUUAUUGCAAUUAUUAAUCUUGAACGAGGAAUUCCUAGUAAACGCAAGUCAUCAGCUUGCAUUGAUUACGUCCCUGCCCUUUGUACACACCGUCCGUCGCACCUACCGAUUGAAUGACUCGGUGAAAAAUUGGGACUGUGAUUGAAAUUGCUUCAUUGCGAAUUUAAUUAUGGAAACUUUCUUUAACCUAGGCAUUUAGAGGAAGGUGAAGUCGUAACA